UGUAGACCCCAGAACACUUGGUUCUAGCUUUCCAGUGGAACUGUUUUUCUAUACACAACCUCUAAGAACCCUUCAGAGUGCUAGAUCCACCUGUGUGUACACAGAAUGUAGGCUAUUGUUAGAGUCACACAGACUACAUGUGAGUGUAAUGAGAGAAGUGAAAGCGUAAGGUUAUGUGCUUUGCUCUCACUCCUCCUGGGGAUUUCCAGGGUUAGAUAGGGAAAAAACGCACUCCUGCCAGGAUUAGCGCAUAAACACACCACGCAACAGAACUGGUUCGAACCCGGUACACAUCCCACACCUGCACAUUAAAGGGUUAAAGGUGUGUCUGCAUUUUAAAUGUAAGCAUGUAGAUGGUGCAGCUUAUUUUGCAUUUAUUUAAGAAUUCAAGUGGAUUUCAAACCUUCACUGAAGUUUAAAGAUGAAGUUUGUAAUGUGUUUCUAAACCUGUAUACUUUACAAUAUUGCCCCUUUUCCACAAAAGGCAACCCAUGAUGCAUUGUGGCAUACAUAGAUUUAAGGAUUGACUAUGUUUUCAUCGUUAUUCAUUUCUCCUCAGCAGAUAUCACAAGCUACAGCUAAUUGUGUUAGGUAGUGAGUAAUCUUCACUACCAGAUUAUUUUUGUGCUAAAUGAAUUUAGUUAAAUGAAUUAGCCAGGAUAGAACAUCUAGCCUGGCUAAGUUUAGUGUAAAAAAAUAUUUAAUCAAAGGCAAGAAAAGGCCAAAUUUCAUGUGGUGUAAUGAAGGUAAAAGUCAGAAAAGGCAGGAUGGUUUCUGUAAGUUAGAAUAGAUGAUUGAGGAACAGUUUGAAUGUUUGAUUUAAAUUAUGUGGUCCAAUCAUCAUAUUUGGUUUAAUGGUCUUUAUUUUUGUUUAGAGUUGUAUGUACUCUGAAUAGCUGUGAGAGGAGAGAGGAGUCCACAUGGAGUUCCCAAAUACACAAUGUGAUUUUAAAAGCCUUCUAAUAUAAGUACUGUAAUCUCAACAAUAACAGAACGGGGUAAAGGAGUGGACUGAGGUAGCGGUGUGGAACUUGGUAAAGGUGUAGAACAUGGUAAAGGGGUGGACUGAGGGGGUGUGGAACGUAAUGAAGGUGAGGACUGAGGUAAAGGGGUGGACUGAGGGGGCGUGGAACGUAGUGAAGGUGAGAACUGAGGUAAAGGUGUGGCAUGAGGGGCCGUGGAACCUAAUAAAGGUGAGAACUGAGGUAAAGGUGUGGCAUGAGGGGCCGUGGAACUUAAUAAAGGUGAGAACUGAGGUAAAGGGGUGGACUGAGGGGGCGUGGAACGUAGUGAAGGUGAGGACUGAGGUAAAGGUGUGGCAUGAGGGGCUGUGGAACCUAAUAAAGGUGAGAACUGAGGUAAAGGUGUGGCAUGAGGGGCCGUGGAACCUAAUAAAGGUGAGAACCGAGGUAAAGGUGUGGCAUGAGGGGCCGUGGAACCUAAUAAAGGUGAGAAUUGAGGUAAAGGGGUGGACUGAGGGGGCGUGGAACGUAAUGAAGGUGAGGACUGAGGUAAAGGGGUGGACUGAGGGGGCGUGGAACGUAAUGAAGGUGAGGACUGAGGUAAAGGGGUGGACUGAGGGGGCGUGGAACGUAAUGAAGGUGAGGACUGAGGUAAAGGGGUGGACUGAGGGGGCGUGGAACGUAAUGAAGGGGUGGACUGAGGGGGCGUGGAACGUAAUGAAGGUGAGGACUGAGGUAAAGGGGUGGACUGAGGGGGCGUGGAAUGUAAUGAAGGUGAGGACUGAGGUAAAGGAAAGGGGUGGACUGAGGGGGCGUGGAACGUAAUGAAGGUGAGAAUGAAGGGACUUGGAACCUAAUAAAGGUGUGGCCUGAGGGGGUGUGGAAUGUUUUAUAAAGGUGUGGACUGAGGUAAAGGUGUAUGUUGAGGCGGUGUGUAAUCGUGUUUUAAUUCUUAUGAGUUAUCCCUCUGGGGAACACAGGAUUCUGUGUAGAAUUCAUACAACAAAGUAAGAAAUCUUGAACUGCGUUUUUUUUUUUUCUUCUUUCCCUUUUUUCUCUCUGUGUGUGUGUGUGUGUGUGUGUGUGUGUGUGUGUGUGUGUGUGCGCACACUGUUAAAGCCGAUAAUCCUUACAUUUCCUCAGCUGUAUUACGAAGUUUUUAAAGGUAUGGUAACAAGGCUGGUGAUUCCUGUCUGAAAUAAAAGUCAUGUGAUCGUGUGGUAAAAGUCAUGGUGGUUUAUAGAGCUGAAUAAAGUGGGCGUUACUCCAUGGUCUAAUGUCGUAAUGAGACGUGUGGAUCGGUGACAGUUUGGACCGUAGUAGAGUAGAGGACUCUGUGUGUAGUGUAUAAUGUAAUCAGAUAUUUAAUCGUAUAUUUCCUUUUUCUUCAGAGAAAUGAAAUGUAGAAGUGCAGGAGCUCUAAUAGAGUGCGGAGUGUUUGCCGUUUUGUGGAGUGUAUUUUCGUGGAGUGUUUGCCGGCUCUCUCAGGUAUGAAGUAAUGCUGCUGGAUAUUGUGGCAUAGUUAAAUCUGAUCUGAUCUCCUGCUCGCUCAUCUGCAAACUGGCCUAACCUGUCCUUAUGAGCAACGUCCUUACCUAGUAUACGAGGUGACUGGCUCAUAUCCUACUGAACAGGUGAGCUCUCUCGGAUCUCCUUUCUGCGAGAUGUUUUCCGUGUCUCUCCUCUUGUACGAACUCUGCGUUAGAAUAUAGAUCGUCUAAAACUGCCUCAGCGUGGUUUCGUAACAUGAAUGAGCAAUGUCCGCUCACACACACGGCAUUGUCCAGGGCCGCAACCUAAUAACGACUGGAGAGAGGUCUGGCCUGAGCUUCUCUCUGUGAGGCAGAAUUGCUUUUUUAGGCAUUUGGAGGGACAAACCCAUGUGUAUUUUGGGGAAUACUUUAUUAUGGGUGUCGGAUAAAAGCAGGGGAGUUGAGGGGCGGGGAACUGCCAGAGGAAUUCCCUUAAUCCGAGUGUUCAGUGGUCUAAAACUGAGCAACUUGCACACGUCCUCUUUGUGAAUGAUGUCAUAGAGUGUUACAGCUUCACUUCCUGUUGAGACGAAGAGUGAAUACGAUGUGUGUUCAGUGUUGUGUACGAGACGUGCGGCUGCAGAAGCGUAUAAGCGGAAGUGAUUGGUCCCGCUCAGAGCUUUUGUUAAUUAAAACGAUUUGAUCUUUGCGUGUUGCGUCGCUUCAUAAACCGGUCCAACGACCCGGGAAGGUUCAGAAUGACGCUUCGGAUGCUUUUCUCAUUUUAGUGCAUCACUUCAUAGCUUUAGACGUGCAUCGGUGUGACUAUGACGGAUCGGGUGUGCGUUUAAUAUCAGGUAACUUGUUUCUAGCGUGGUGUUUUGAUUGAGAUGUGUUGUGGAGCUGAAACGGUGGACGGUUUUGUUUCUGCACUGGAAGGAAAAUAGCUCCGAACCAAAAUUACAGUGAUUAGAGAAAUCACGCUUAAAUGCGCGCGUGUGUGUGUGUGUGUGUGUGUGUGUGGCAGCAGUGUGUUGUACACUGAAGUGGUUUUGGUGUUGCAGGCUGCUAUUAGAGCAGAGGAUUUUAAAAGAUCUGUUUUGAAGCUUGGCGACGUAGCAGUGCGUCUCUUCUGUCGUAUGAUUGUGGCUCUAACCCUAAGCAACCGCUGAGCUCUCAUUUUCUACGUACUUUCAUGGCCUGAAGCAGCGAUUCCAGACACAAUUUAACUGGGAUGUUCUCCGUUCUAUGCAAAUUUGAUAAGGCUCUGUAAAGCAACACAUCCAGGUGUGACGUUUCUUCAGCUCCAUGCUCACAAUUUUAGUUCCUGCAGAAAUGGGAUAAAAUUGUAUAACCUCCAUGAUUAAAUUUCUUCAUGUUAUAUACACGCUCUCAUUAAAUGUGUACCGAACCGUUGGGAAGGAAAAGAAAGCUCGGAAGGACGUCGCGGAGAUCUUUGGUGCCUCUGGUGAGGGUAUGUAACUAGUACAGUUAGCUCAAUUUGCCAAUCUAAUCCGAGACCGUGCUAGCUCCCUCUGCCGAGAUAACAGCUCUCGGUCUUCUCCUGUGAUGCCUUGAGGUUGGAGAAUACAUGGCGAGGGGUCUGUGUUGUGUUUGCAAUUUUAAACAUUUGAAACUAUCUCAAUCACGUGCUUGUUUAGUUUUAUUUUAAUGAAAGGAGAGUAAAAAUAAAUCUUUUUUUUAUGCAUACUUCAGACAGGAAAGCCACUUUUCCGUGCACGUUUCUGAUUUUGUGAAGCUUCGUGUCCACGUUGAGGAGAACCGGUUUGCUUCGCGCCGCCCCUCGUCCUGCACUCGUACACCACAUGAAGGACGUUCUGUAGUACACACGUCAGGAUUGUUUGUUUGUUAUGUGAUACGCGUGUGUAUGAGUGUCGUGCGGUUAGUGAAUUUUGCGUGCGUGUGCUGAUCGUACUUGGUCAUUAGAUGGACAAACAUCACGUGAGAGGAGCUUCACGUGUACGGCUGUAGCGUUGUCGGCCGCUCCGUUUGAAGCCGGAGCCGCCGGCGGUGGUUUCCCGUCUUCCCUGCAG
Long non-coding RNA from Ictalurus punctatus (channel catfish), 4488 nucleotides. The record is from Ensembl. Lineage: Eukaryota; Metazoa; Chordata; Actinopteri; Siluriformes; Ictaluridae.